GACGAACGCUGGCGGCGUGCUUAACACAUGCAAGUCGAACGGAAAGGCCCUGCUUUUGUGGGGUGCUCGAGUGGCGAACGGGUGAGUAACACGUGAGUAACCUGCCCUUGACUUUGGGAUAACUUCAGGAAACUGGGGCUAAUACCGGAUAGGAGCUCCUGCUGCAUGGUGGGGGUUGGAAAGUUUCGGCGGUUGGGGAUGGACUCGCGGCUUAUCAGCUUGUUGGUGGGGUAGUGGCUUACCAAGGCUUUGACGGGUAGCCGGCCUGAGAGGGUGACCGGCCACCAUGGGACUGAGAUACGGCCCAGACUCCUACGGGAGGCAGCAGUGGGGAAUAUUGCACAAUGGGCGGAAGCCUGAUGCAGCAACGCCGCGUGCGGGAUGACGGCCUUCGGGUUGUAAACCGCUUUCGCCUGUGACGAAGCGUGAGUGACGGUAAUGGGUAAAGAAGCACCGGCUAACUACGUG
This 468-nucleotide ribosomal RNA is filed under the name uncultured bacterium. RNAcentral's name for it is "partial 16S ribosomal RNA". It matches the Rfam family "Bacterial small subunit ribosomal RNA", at positions 28 to 507 of the family's 1533-position model. The record is from RNAcentral.